RNAcentral lists this ribosomal RNA (421 nucleotides) under uncultured bacterium. RNAcentral describes it as "partial 16S ribosomal RNA". It matches the Rfam family "Bacterial small subunit ribosomal RNA", at positions 359 to 773 of the family's 1533-position model. The record is from RNAcentral.
AGUAUUGGACAAUGGGGGCAACCCUGCUCCAGCCACGCCGCGGGUGUGAAGAAGGUCUUCGGAUUGUAAAGCACUUUAAGCUGGGAGGAAGGGCUUCAGGUUAAUACUCUGAAGUACGGACGUCACCAACAGAAUAAGCACCCGCUAACCAUGUGCCAGCAGCCGCGGUAAUACAGAGGGUGCAAGCGUUAAUCGGAAUUACUGGGCGUAAAGCGCGCGUAGGUGGUUCAGUAAUAUGGGUGUGAAACCCCCGGGCUUAACCUGGGAACUGCUUUCAUAACUGCUGAGCUAGAGUACGGUAGAGGGUAGUGGAAUUUCCUGUGUAGCGGUGAAAUGCGUAGAUAUAGGAAGGAACACCAGUGGCGAAGGCGACUACCUGGACUGAUACUGACACUGAGGUGCGAAAGCGUGGGGAGCAAAC